UUUCUAUUAAAUAAGUGAAUGAAUAAAAACUAAAACCUAAAUAAAACUAAAUCAUAUCCAUUUUUCACUCAUCGAAUAGGCAAACAUUUUCAACCCUAAUCUUUUCUAUCCUCCACAGCCUUCCCCAAACGCUGCAUCUUCUGCCGCCACAGGAGCUACCAUGAAUAGAGACGUGGCAACCAGAACGACCACGCCAGGGCAUCCAUAGACGUGGCAACCAGAGCGACCAGGGCACGGCAUUCAGAGACGUGCUUUCUCCUCGGCGUUCCACAUACAAAAUUCGACGGCAUGGCUCGUAUGGUGGUAUAGAUCCCUACAGUUUGCAACUGUGUCUGUUGACACAAGAAAUGAAAUGGUUUGCAACCCUUUCGAGCAGGGCCCAAAUUUGGUGGUUGCUGAACAUUUAUAUUCAGAAGCUGGCUAUUAGAGGAUGAAAAGUUGAACAAUUGUGAAUGAGUGAUGGGACUGUUUUGCCUCACAAGUUGGUCAACCAAAUAUCAGUGAUUUGACACUUUAUCAUGUAAAAAUGUACAAAUUGUAAUACAAUAUUUUAUAUUUGUUUUAUAAAAUUGUACAACUAUUAAUAUAAUCAUUUUACAACUGUAUUUUAUAUCA
This is a long non-coding RNA of Cryptomeria japonica (Japanese cedar), 615 nucleotides long. RefSeq lists it as uncharacterized. The transcript is spliced from 3 exons. NCBI's taxonomy places the organism in Eukaryota, Viridiplantae, Streptophyta, Pinopsida, Cupressales, Cupressaceae. The record is from RefSeq and is a predicted model, not a curated record.